Long non-coding RNA from Thunnus maccoyii (southern bluefin tuna), 675 nucleotides. RefSeq lists it as uncharacterized. NCBI's taxonomy places the organism in Eukaryota, Metazoa, Chordata, Actinopteri, Scombriformes, Scombridae. The record is from RefSeq and is a predicted model, not a curated record. The transcript is spliced from 2 exons.
CCCUCAGGCGCAGUGUGCAGCGCUGCAGGAGUUCAGAAAGUGAGGAACAUGAAAAGCUGAAAAAAGUUUGAGAGCCCUGCAGCAGUGUGUUGUCACAGCGGGACAGUCCUGAACUCUCUGCCACUGAUCUGUGAGAGGGGGGGACACUGGGACCGAGUCUGCUUGAUUCAAACAUACACAACACUUUUUAAAAAAAGUUACUCAAAAUUUGGGGAACAUUUGUGGAAACGUAUCAACUGUCAAGCGACACUGCAAUACGAUGAUGCUUUGAGCGUCGACAGCGUGAGAAAGCAGAAAUAUGACAGUGACUGACAGAAGUCUGGGAGUGAAGAGUGACAGACGGCAGACAGAGACAUAACAUCAGCCCACACAGAUGGAUGGAAAAGGUAAAAAAAAAAAACUGCAGAGAAAUAUUAUGUUUCACAUGACGUUGGUUCAGUUGACCAUUUACAGCCUUUAAUGUAAUUACCCUCAAAGUCAUUUUAAUGUUUUUCUCUUCCUGGUUUCUAUCUCGGGACUCAUCGAGAGACAGAAAAUCAACAGCAGCUGGAAAAAAAAAGACAAUCUUCUCUGCCGUCUGAACAUAGACUCUGGAAAUGAAUUCUGUUUAUUCUGGCUAAAUAUAUCUGUGAUGAUUGUUUGAGUUAAUAAAGGAAAAUCUAUUACUGCGCUGGA